GUGCUCUUCAGACGCACAUAUCCUAAAACUGGAAUGAUACAAAGAAGAUUAGCAUGAUCCCUAUACAAGGAUGACUUUCAAAUUCAUGAAACAUUCCAUAUUUUU
Small nuclear RNA from Vombatus ursinus (common wombat), 105 nucleotides. Lineage: Eukaryota; Metazoa; Chordata; Mammalia; Diprotodontia; Vombatidae. The record is from Ensembl.